CCUACGGGUGGCAGCAGUGAGGAAUAUUGGUCAAUGGACGAGAGUCUGAACCAGCCAAGUAGCGUGAAGGAUGACUGCCCUAUGGGUUGUAAACUUCUUUUAUAUGGGAAUAAAAUGUUCCACGUGUGGGAUUUUGUAUGUACCAUAUGAAUAAGGAUCGGCUAACUCCGUGCCAGCAGCCGCGGUAAUACGGAGGAUCCGAGCGUUAUCCGGAUUUAUUGGGUUUAAAGGGAGCGUAGGUGGAUUGUUAAGUCAGUUGUGAAAGUUUGCGGCUCAACCGUAAAAUUGCAGUUGAAACUGGCAGUCUUGAGUACAGUAGAGGUGGGCGGAAUUCGUGGUGUAGCGGUGAAAUGCUUAGAUAUCAGGAAGAACUCCGAUUGCGAAGGCAGUUCACUGGACUGCAACUGACACUGAGGCUCGAAAGUGUGGGUAUCAAACAGGAUUAGAUACCCGAGUAGUC
Molecule: ribosomal RNA, 460 nt
Filed under: uncultured bacterium
Lineage: Bacteria
Description: partial 16S ribosomal RNA
Rfam family: Bacterial small subunit ribosomal RNA
Source: RNAcentral